UUCCGGUUGAUCCUGCCGGACCCGACUGCUAUUUGGGUGAGGAUAAGCCAUGCGAGUUGGAUGGGAUACCUAAAUUUCCCAUAGCAAACUGCUUAGUAACACAUGAUCAACUUGCCCUAUGGAGAAAAAUAACCUCGGGAAACUGAGGAUAAUGUUUCAUAGUUGAAUAGGCUUGGAAAAGUUUUUCAAUGAAAGGAAUAAGAUAAAUGGUUCUUAUUUGCCAUAGGAUAGGAUCGUGGUCGAUUAUGGUAGUUGGUGAGAUAACGGCUCACCAAGCCGAUAAUCGAUAGGGGCCGUGAGAGCGGGAGCCCCAAGAUGGGUACUGAGACAGCGACCCAGGCCUUACAAGGCGCAGCAGGCGCGAGACCUCCGCAAUACACGAAAGUGUGACGGGGUUACCCAAAGUGUUCUCUUAAGAACUGUGGCAGGUGAGUAAUGUCCCCUGCUAGAAAGGAGAGGGCAAGGCUGGUGCCAGCCGCCGCGGUAAAACCAGCUCUUCAAGUGGUCGGGAUAAUUAUUGGGCUUAAAGUGUCCGUAGCCGGUUUAGUAAGUUCCUGGUAAAAUCGGGUAGCUUAACUAUCUGCAUGCUAGGAAUACUGCUAUACUAGAGGGCGGGAGAGGUCUGAGGUACUACAGGGGUAGGGGUGAAAUCUUAUAAUCCUUGUAGGACCACCAGUGGCGAAGGCGUCAGACUGGAACGCGCCUGACGGUGAGGGACGAAAGCCAGGGGAGCGAACCGGAUUAGAUACGUCGGUGCUAGAAUAAUAAAAUAACUAACACCAUGCUAAAAACCCGGGUAGUCCUGGCCGUAAACGAUGCAUACUAUGUGAUGGUACGGCCAUGAGCCGUAUCAGUGCCGUAGGGAAACCGUUAAGUGUGCCGCCUGGGAAGUACGGUCGCAAGGCUAAAACUUAAAGGAAUUGGCGGGGGGAGCACCACAAGGGUGAAGCCUGCGGUUCAAUUGGAUUCAACGCGGA
Molecule: ribosomal RNA, 977 nt
Filed under: uncultured archaeon
Lineage: Archaea
Description: bacterial SSU rRNA
Rfam family: Archaeal small subunit ribosomal RNA
Source: RNAcentral